GAUGAACGCUAGCGGUAUGCUUAACACAUGCAAGUCGUACGGGAGUUUUUAACUCAAGUGGCGGACGGGUGAGUAACACGUGAGAAUUUACCUUUAGGAGGGGGAUAACAAUUGGAAACGAUUGCUAAUACCCCAUAUGCUUUUUUAAGUGAAACGGAUUUAUUCGCCUAAAGAAAAGCUCGCGGCUGAUUAGCUAGUUGGUAAGGUAAUGGCUUACCAAGGCGACGAUCAGUAUCUGGUUUGAGAGGAUGAUCAGACACACUGGAACUGAGACACGGUCCAGACUCCUACGGGAGGCAGCAGUGGGGAAUUUCCGCAAUGGGCGAAAGCCUGACGGAGCAAUGCCGCGUGAGUGAUGAAGGCCUUAGGGUUGUAAAGCUCUUUACCCGGGAUGAUAAUGACAGUACCGGAGAAUAAGCUCCGGCGUAACUCCGUGCCAGCAGCCGCGGU
RNAcentral lists this ribosomal RNA (450 nucleotides) under uncultured bacterium. RNAcentral's name for it is "bacterial SSU rRNA". It matches the Rfam family "Bacterial small subunit ribosomal RNA", at positions 28 to 521 of the family's 1533-position model. The record is from RNAcentral.